This 68-nucleotide ribosomal RNA is filed under the name Xylaria filiformis. Its description in RNAcentral is "partial 28S ribosomal RNA". The stretch from base 11 to 68 matches the Rfam family "Eukaryotic large subunit ribosomal RNA", at positions 1 to 58 of the family's 3401-position model. Lineage: Eukaryota; Fungi; Ascomycota; Sordariomycetes; Xylariales; Xylariaceae. The record is from RNAcentral.
UUUUUUAGGUUGACCUCGGAUCAGGUAGGAAUACCCGCUGAACUUAAGCAUAUCAAUAAGCGGAGGAA